AUAAUACUCCAUAGAUCGAUACUACUGGAAUGUUUUUCGAACGAAAGAUCCGUCGCUUCAGGAUGAAUCUGCGUCCGAUUAGGUAGUUGUUGGGGUAAUUGCCCAACAAGCCUGUAAUCGAUACGGGUUGUGGGAGCAAGAGCCCGGAGAUGGAUUCUGAGACACGAAUCCAGGCCCUACGGGGCGCAGCAGGCGCGAAAACUUUACCAUGCGGGCAACCGUGAUAAGGAAACCCCGAGUGCCAGCACAGGCUGGCUGUCCGCCAGUUUAAACAACAUGGCGAAGAAAGGGCCGGGCAAGACCGGUGCCAGCCGCCGCGGUAAUACCGGCGGCUCGAGUGGUGGCCGCUAUUACUGGGCUUAAAGGGUCCGUAGCUUGAUAAUAGGGUCUCCUUGAGAAAUCCGCCGGCUUAACUGGCGGGCGUUCAGGGGAUACUUGUUUUCUAGGGACCGGGAGAGGUGAGGGGUACUGCCGGGGUAGGAGUGAAAUCCUGUAAUCCCGGUGGGACCACCUAUGGCGAAGGCAUCUCACCAGAACGGGUCCGACAGUGAGGGACGAAAGCUGGGGGAGCGAACCGGAUUAGAUACCCGGGUAGUCCCAGCUGUAAACUAUGUGCGUUAGGUGU
This 625-nucleotide ribosomal RNA is filed under the name uncultured archaeon. RNAcentral's name for it is "bacterial SSU rRNA". It matches the Rfam family "Archaeal small subunit ribosomal RNA", at positions 146 to 774 of the family's 1478-position model. The record is from RNAcentral.